CCGGCGACCGGCGCACGGGUGAGUAACACGUAUGCGACCUGACCCCCCGCAGGGGGAUAACCGGGAGAAAUCCCGACUAAUACCGCGUAACGCCGCGGACCUGCAUGGGUCUGCGGCCAAAGGAAGCGAUUCCGGCGGGGGAUGGGCAUGCGGCGCAUUAGCUAGUCGGCGGGGUAACGGCCCACCGAGGCGACGAUGCGUAGGGGUUCUGAGAGGAAGGUCCCCCACACUGGUACUGAGACACGGACCAGACUCCUACGGGAGGCAGCAG
Molecule: ribosomal RNA, 271 nt
Filed under: uncultured bacterium
Lineage: Bacteria
Description: partial 16S ribosomal RNA
Rfam family: Bacterial small subunit ribosomal RNA
Source: RNAcentral